RNAcentral lists this ribosomal RNA (464 nucleotides) under intestinal bacterium CPA-4B. RNAcentral describes it as "bacterial SSU rRNA". It matches the Rfam family "Bacterial small subunit ribosomal RNA", at positions 28 to 477 of the family's 1533-position model. The record is from RNAcentral.
GAUGAACGCUGGCGGCGUGCCUAAUACAUGCAAGUCGAGCGAACGGACGAGAAGCUUGCUUNUNUGAUGUUAGCGGCGGACGGGUGAGUAACACGUGGAUAACCUACCUAUAAGACUGGGAUAACUUCGGGAAACCGGAGCUAAUACCGGAUAAUAUUUUGAACCGCAUGGUUCAAAAGUGAAAGACGGUCUUGCUGUCACUUAUAGAUGGAUCCGCGCUGCAUUAGCUAGUUGGUAAGGUAACGGCUUACCAAGGCAACGAUGCAUAGCCGACCUGAGAGGGUGAUCGGCCACACUGGAACUGAGACACGGUCCAGACUCCUACGGGAGGCAGCAGUAGGGAAUCUUCCGCAAUGGGCGAAAGCCUGACGGAGCAAACGCCGCGUGAGUGAUGAAGGUCUUCGGAUCGUAAAACCUAAUGUNAUUAGGGAAGAACCAUAUGUGUAAGUAAACUGUGCACAUCU